AGACGAGGAUAACAACCGGAAACAGUUGCUAAGACUGGAUAGGAAAUAAAAAGGCAUCUUUUUAUUUUUAAAAGACCUUUUUCGGAAGGUAUGCUUAAAGAUGAGCUUGCGCCACAUUAGUUUGUUGGUGGGGUAAUGGCCUACCAAGACGAUGAUGUGUAGCUGGACUGAGAGGUCGAACAGCCACAUUGGGACUGAGACACGGCCCAAACUCCUACGGGAGGCAGCAGUAGGGAAUUUUCGGCAAUGGAGGAAACUCUGACCGAGCAACGCCGCGUGAACGAUGAAGUAUAUCGGUAUGUAAAGUUCUUUUAUUGAAGAAGAAAAAAUAGUGGAAAAACUAUCUUGACGUUAUUCAAUGAAUAAGCCCCGGCUAACUAUGUGCCAGCAGCCGCGGUAAGACAUAGGGGGCGAGCGUUAUCCGGAAUUAUUGGGCGUAAAGGGUGCGUAGGCGGUUAGGAAAGUCUAUAAUUUAAUUUCAGUGCUUAACGCUGUCUUGUUAUAGAAACUACCUUGACUAGAGUUAGAUAGAGGCAAGCGGAAUUCCAUGUGUAGCGGUAAAAUGUGUAAAUAUAUGGAGGAACACCAGAAGCGUAGGCGGCUUGCUGGGUCUUGACUGACGCUGAGGCACGAAAGCGUGGGUAGCAAACAGGAUUAGAUACCCUUGUAGUCCACGCCGUAAACGAUGAGUACUAAGUGUCGGGAUAAAACUCGGUACUGAAGUUAACACAUUAAGUACUCCGCCUGAGUAGUACGUACGCAAGUAUGAAACUUAAGGAAUUGACGGGACUCCGCACAAGCGGUGGAUCAUGUUGUUUAAUUCGAAGAUACACGAAAAAUCUUACCAGGUCUUGACAUGCUCUGCAAAGCUAUAGAAAUAUAGUGGAGGUUAUCAGGGACACAGGUGGUGCAUGGUUGUCGUCAGUUCGUGUCCUGAGAUGUUAGGUUAAGUCCUAAACGAGCGCAACCCUUGUCGUUAGUUACCAGCCGUAAUGGUGGGCACCUUAACGAACUGCCAAUUAACAUUGAAGGAAGGGAGGAUUCGUCAAAUCACUUGCCCCUUAUAUCUGGGCUACAAACGUGAUACAAAUGGCUGUUACAAAGAGUAGCUGAAGCGCGAGUUUUUAGCCAAUCUCAAAAAAGCAGUCUCAGUUCGGAUUGAAGUCUGUAACUCGACUUCAUGAAGUUGGAAUCGCUAGUAAUCGCGAAUCAGCAUGUCGCGGUGAAUACGUUCUCGGGGUUUGUACACACCACCCGUCAAACCACGAAAGUUAGCAAUACCCGAAAGCAGCGGCUUAACUUCGCAAGAAGAGGAAACUGUCUAAGGUAGGGUUGAUGAUUGGGGUUAAGUCGUAACAAGGUAUCCCUACCGGAAGGUGGGGAUGGAUCACCUCCUUUCU
RNAcentral lists this ribosomal RNA (1400 nucleotides) under Candidatus Phytoplasma fraxini. Its description in RNAcentral is "16S ribosomal RNA". It matches the Rfam family "Bacterial small subunit ribosomal RNA". Lineage: Bacteria; Bacillati; Mycoplasmatota; Mollicutes; Acholeplasmatales; Acholeplasmataceae. The record is from RNAcentral.